UGCACUGGUAAAUUUUCCAAUCACUUGAAAUUAAUACUGACUUACAGACAGGUGCAAAAAAUAUCCUCUUUUGCAACCCAGAUCUCAUUAUACCGUAAGAGUUUUGAUACAUAUAAGAAGGAAUAUG
RNAcentral lists this small nucleolar RNA (127 nucleotides) under Castor canadensis (American beaver). Its description in RNAcentral is "Small nucleolar RNA SNORA40 (ENSCCNG00000002926.1)". It matches the Rfam family "Small nucleolar RNA SNORA40". Rfam says of the family: The snoRNA ACA 40 belongs to the H/ACA family of snoRNAs and guides the pseudouridylation of 28S rRNA subunit at position U4565. NB This family has a high threshold value to exclude a large number of closely related sequences that do not appear to have conserved H and ACA boxes, and may be pseudogenes. The record is from Rfam by way of RNAcentral. Lineage: Eukaryota; Metazoa; Chordata; Mammalia; Rodentia; Castoridae.